This 19-nucleotide transfer RNA is filed under the name Leishmania major strain Friedlin. RNAcentral's name for it is "E-site_tRNA_chain_S4 from Leishmania major strain Friedlin (PDB 8A98, chain S4)". Lineage: Eukaryota; Euglenozoa; Kinetoplastea; Trypanosomatida; Trypanosomatidae. The record is from RNAcentral.
GCGCGGAGUCCGCGCACCA